RNAcentral lists this ribosomal RNA (428 nucleotides) under Aeromonas sp. E222. RNAcentral describes it as "bacterial SSU rRNA". It matches the Rfam family "Bacterial small subunit ribosomal RNA", at positions 352 to 772 of the family's 1533-position model. The record is from RNAcentral. Lineage: Bacteria; Pseudomonadati; Pseudomonadota; Gammaproteobacteria; Aeromonadales; Aeromonadaceae.
GGGUGGGGAAUAUUGCACAAUGGGGGAAACCCUGAUGCAGCCAUGCCGCGUGUGUGAAGAAGGCCUUCGGGUUGUAAAGCACUUUCAGCGAGGAGGAAAGGUUGGUAGCGAAUAACUGCCAGCUGUGACGUUACUCGCAGAAGAAGCACCGGCUAACUCCGUGCCAGCAGCCGCGGUAAUACGGAGGGUGCAAGCGUUAAUCGGAAUUACUGGGCGUAAAGCGCACGCAGGCGGUUGGAUAAGUUAGAUGUGAAAGCCCCGGGCUCAACCUGGGAAUUGCAUUUAAAACUGUCCAGCUAGAGUCUUGUAGAGGGGGGUAGAAUUCCAGGUGUAGCGGUGAAAUGCGUAGAGAUCUGGAGGAAUACCGGUGGCGAAGGCGGCCCCCUGGACAAAGACUGACGCUCAGGUGCGAAAGCGUGGGGAGCAAA